GGGGUAGUAAAGGUUUCGACGGGGGCUGUGAAGCUGGAGAAGCUAUCCGCAGGCUGAUGCGUUAAAUCGCAAACUUAAAUAUAAACGCUGAUAAAGAUUUUGCGCUUGCUGCAGCCUGACGGCUGUGGCUGUCUGACCUGAAGCACCUGCACUUUAGAAUCAGGCAUCGAAUUUGCAGGAAACGACACAUGCAAAGCUUUGAGCAUGUGGGCGUAAUAUGAAGCUACCGAGACCGUCAGGGUGUCUGCUUUCGGACGGCGGGGGGAAUCUCAAAGAACAGACUAUGAUAGUAGAAGGACAGGGGAUUGGCUUUCGGACACGAGUUCGACUCUCGUCUACUCCAU
Molecule: transfer-messenger RNA, 344 nt
Filed under: bovine gut metagenome
Rfam family: transfer-messenger RNA
About the family: Bacterial tmRNA, also known as 10Sa RNA or SsrA, is named for its dual tRNA and mRNA-like properties. Its role is to liberate the mRNA from a stalled ribosome. To accomplish this part of the tmRNA is used as a reading frame that ends in a translation stop signal.
Source: RNAcentral